GCCCCUCUAGUGAUCUUUGCUGCCGGCAAAAUACAAAACCUCCUCGGUCGGCAGUCAUUCAUGAAACGGAAUUAUGCUUCAGGAAGCCAGAAAAGGAAGAAGAGAAAGGAAGAGGAGGAUAAGAAAAAACAAGAUAGUGGUGCUUUGCUUAAAUUUCUCAGCCCUCAGGCUCUUCCUAAGGAUACCUCCACUGAUGAAGCUACACCAUCAACUUCAUCCUCAACAUCAACAAAUGCAUCACUUCUCAGUGCUGAUGUUUCCUCUAUAGCACAAGGUACCACCACCACAAUCUCUAUAAUUAUAGCUGAUAUCCUGCACAGCCCAGAGUUUAAACUGAUAAGUGUGUGCUGUCAUAUUGUUAGAAAAAAAAACAGUGCAAAUCACUAUGGAAUUCCCACCAAGUGUAAAUACAAGUCACUUUUGCCCAUGGACAUUUCAGAAUUUUUAAUAUACAGUAGUGCCUGUCAAUUUUCUAGGUGUCAGACACUCAGUGAUGCAUUCUGUACCUCGACAGAUGGAUUAUAUUAAUAAAAACUUUUUAAUUUUUUAUUUAUGCACAGU
Perca flavescens (yellow perch) is the source of this 561-nucleotide long non-coding RNA. RefSeq lists it as uncharacterized. Lineage: Eukaryota; Metazoa; Chordata; Actinopteri; Perciformes; Percidae. The record is from RefSeq and is a predicted model, not a curated record. The transcript has 3 exons.